This 3560-nucleotide ribosomal RNA is filed under the name Candidatus Falkowbacteria bacterium RIFOXYC2_FULL_47_12. RNAcentral describes it as "bacterial LSU rRNA". It matches the Rfam family "Bacterial large subunit ribosomal RNA", at positions 1 to 2462 of the family's 2925-position model. The record is from RNAcentral. Lineage: Bacteria; Candidatus Falkowiibacteriota.
AUUUAAGGGUGUAUGGUGAAUGCCUUGACAUUAUGAGACGAUGAAGGACGUAGCAGCCUGCGAUAAGCCUCGCUUAGGUGGCAAGCAACCUUUGACGCGGGGAUUUCCGAAUGGGGAAACCUAUCCUGAUGAAGUCAGGAUGACCUAGCAUUUAUGUUAGGUGGAGUACCCGGGGAACUGAAACAUCUUAGUACCCGGAGGAAAAGAAAAAAAUAAAACAGAUUUUACACAGAUUACAAACGGAUUAACGCAGAUAUUUAUUUGCGCGUAUCUGUAAAUAACUGUGUAAAGUCUGUGCAAUUCCGUCAGUAGUGGCGAGCGAACGCGGAGAAGCCUAAACUUUAGAAACUGCACUUUUUGUCCCGAGCAAUCGGGAUGAUUAGGAAAGGAUCCAGGUCCACAUGUUUUUAGAGCGUUGUAAGAUAUAUGCGUUUGCCCCCUGGAACGGGCGAGGUAGAGACAAAAAAUAUAACUUCCCUAGGAGAACGGUCUGGAAAGGCCGGCCAAAGACGGUGACAGCCCGGUACGCGAAAGGGGUUAGAACUCUACGGUGUAUGUUCUUAAGUAGGGCGGAACUCGAGAAAUUCCGUCUGAAGCCGGAGCGACUAUGCUCCAAGGCUAAAUACUCAUAAUGAUCGAUAGUGAACGAGUACCGUGAGGGAAAGGUGAAAAGCAUCCCGGGAGGGAGGUGAAAUAGUACCUGAAACCAUACACUUACAAGGAAUCAGAGUCCCGCACUUUCUGCGCAUCUUUAUUACAUUUAAAUCAUCUUUGGAAGACGAAGUCGCUUCGCUCUGUAACGGUGAUUCAAAUCAUGUAAGGUGAAUGGAAAGUGCGGGAUGAUGGUGUGCCUAUUGAAGAAUGAGCCAACGAGUUUGUUCUAUGUGGCUUACAUAAACUCCGUUUGGAGAAUAUGUGUAGUGAAAGCGAGGGUGAAUAGCCCGUAUCUUACUUUUUAGAUAGGAGAUGCCUUUAAGUCUUCUAUCUAAAUUGUAAGAAUGUCGCAUGGACAAAACCCGAAGCCGGGUGAUCUAGCCAUAGCCAGGUUGAAUGCCGUCGAAAGACGGCAGGAGGACCGAACCCACAAGCCGUGCAACACUUGGGGAUGAGCUGUGGUUAGGGGAGAAAUUCCAAUCGAACUCGGCAAUAGCUGGUUCUCCUCGAAAUAGCUUUAGGGCUAGCCUCGGAUACUGACGCUUGGGGGUAGAGCACUGAUUAAGGGCGGGUCGCAAGAUACCGUCUUUAGACAAACUCCGAAUACCAAGCGGUGCAAUCCGGGAGUAAGACUAUGGGGGCUAAGCUCCAUCAGUCAAAAGGGAAACAGCCCAGAUCACCAACUAAGGUCCCAAAAUCCAUGUUCAGUGUGAAAGGUGGUGUCGCGACUGCGACAACUAGGAGGUUGGCUUAGAAGCAGCCAUCCUUUAAAGAUAGCGUAAUAGCUCACUAGUCAAGUUGCCGCGCGCCGAAAAUGUAACGGGGCUAAACAUGGUACCGAAGUUGUGAGUCUCGCAGCAAUGCGGGGCGGUAGAGGAGCAUUCCCUGUUCGCUGAAGUUUCGCUGUGAGGCGGAAUGGAGAACAGGGAAGAGAGAAUGUUGGCAUGAGUAGCAUAAAGGCGGGUGAGAACCCCGCCCACCGAAAGCCUCAGGGUUCCUGGGCAACGUAAAUCGGCCCAGGGUUAGUCGGUCCUAAGGUGAGUCCCGUGUAGUGCGGGGGUAGCCGAUGGAUAGCGCCGUUAAUAUUCGGCGACUGCGUAUGUAUUUCAAUGGAGUGACGCAUCGUUAAAAGUUUGAGCGUUCUAUGGUAUGAGCGUUGUUGCUUUUGUUUUGGUCGUCCCAGGAAAAUCCGGGACACCUAUAACCAAAACAGAAAUGACAAAAGCUGAGCACUUUGUGCAAGGCGAUUCAAGCGGCGGCGGUGCCAAGAAAACCUUCUAGAGCCAAUGCAUACGCAACCGUACCGUAAACCGACACAGGUAGGCGAGGCGAGAAGCCUCAGGUGCACGAGAGAACCUUCGUUUAGGAACUCGGCAAAACAGCGGUCGUAAUCUAGAGAUAAGGCCUCCCGCUCAGCGCGCAAGCGCUUGAGCGGGCGCAGCUAACGACCCCAAGCAACUGUUUAUCAAAAACACAGCUCCCUGCAAACUCGUAAGAGGAAGUAUAGGGGGUGACGCCUGGCCAGUGUCUGAACGUUAAGGGGAGAGGUCAUUUCCGAUUUAUCGGGGAGAAGCCUUGAACCGAAGCGCAGAUGAACGCCGGCGAUAACUAUAGACGCGAUUGUAGUUAUAAAAUUUGGCUAUAUGCUGGAAACUCCGGAGUAAACAACGUACUCGUCCGAGCAAGGGCAGUAAAAAUCGUUUUUUGUGCUCCGACAUGACGUCGGAGUGCCGGACAAUCAGCAGGAAAGACUCUUAAUAGUAAGACUAUGAGCGAUACCAAAUGGUUACGUAAGAUUCCCUUGGAAUGGGGACAUUAUUUGGCGGGAUUUACGGAUGGGGAAGGAAGUUUUAACAUUUCUCUUCGUAAAAGAGAAGAUCAUACGAUUCAAUGGCAGGUCGUCUUAACGUUUAAUGUUUCCCAAAAAGAAUCUUACAUCCUUUCACAAUUCAAGAGAUAUUUAGGUUGUGGAAGGAUACAACAAAGAAGGGAUGGAUUGCACAUAUAUGUGUGUUCUAAUCCAACGUCAAUUCGAGAGCGCAUUAUUCCGUUUUUUCGGAAAUUUAAAUUACGCUCCCAAUUGAAGAAAAAAAAUUUUUUUAUUUUUUGCCAGAUUGUUGAAAAGGUAUUCAACAAAGAACAUUUAACCCCGCCAGGUUUGAAGGAAAUUAUCACGUUGCGGGAGGUUUUAAAUGAAGGUAGAGGCAGAAAAAGAAAAUAUCAGCUCAGUGAUUUUAACCAAUCACAAAAAGAGAAUCCUCAGAGACUAUACGCCAAACCGCGAAAAUUUAGAAAAGAAUUUUCGUCGGAUGAUAUAGUCCGAUCUCAUGGGCAACCAUGAGCUUCAGAUACAUUACUUCUGAAGAUUUUAUUCCGUUUUAGGGAUAAAAGUAACAGAGAUAAAUCGUCCUAAGGUAGCGAAAUUCCUUGUCGGGUAAGUUCCGACCUGCACGAAUGGCGUAAUGACUUGGGGACUGUCUCAACGAAGGACUCGGCGAAAUUGCAAGCCCAGUAAAGAUGCUGGGUACCCAUAGCCGGACGAAAAGACCCCGUGAAGCUUUACUACAACUUGAUAUUGUGUUUGAACAUGCUUUGUUCAGUAUAGGUGGGAGUCCCGAGCAAUCGGGACAACAGUGAGAUACCACCCUUAGUCUGUUGAAAUACUUACCUCAUCUUGUUAUCCAAGAAAGGGACAGUAUCUGGCGGGUAGUUUGUCUGGGGCGGAUGCCUCCCAAAAAGUAACGGAGGCGUUUACUAAGGUUGGCUAUCUCGGAAUGGAAACCCGAGAGAUAGUGUAAAGGCACAAGCCAGCUUUACUGCGAGACCUGCGCGUCGAGCAGUCGCGAAAGCGGAACUUAGUGAUCCGACCGUCCAAUGUAGGAUGGCGGAAGCUCAUCGGAUAAAAG